Molecule: ribosomal RNA, 600 nt
Filed under: uncultured bacterium
Lineage: Bacteria
Description: bacterial SSU rRNA
Rfam family: Bacterial small subunit ribosomal RNA (bases 1-449)
Source: RNAcentral
GCGGGUACGUGGGUGCGGAACACGUGUGCAACUGCCUUUAUCUGGGGGAUAGCCUUUCGAAAGGAAGAUUAAUACCCCAUAAUACGUUGAAUGGCAUCAUUCGAGCAUUGAAAACUCCGGUGGAUAGAGAUGGGCACGCGCAAGAUUAGAUAGUUGGUGAGGUAACGGUCACCAAGUCUACGAUCUUUAGGGGGCCUGAAAGGGUGAUCCCCCAACUUGGUACUUGAGACAUGGACCAGACUCCUACGGGAGGCAAGCAGUGACGGANAUCAUUUGGACAACCGGGGUUGAAGAGCCUGAUNCCAGCAUCCCCGCGUGAAGGACUGAUUGCCUAUGGGUUGUCAACCUUCUCUUUGNGAUACGGGAUUAAACCUAACCUUCGUGAGGAGUAAGCCUGAAGGUCACUCAUCACGGAAUUAAAGCACCGGCUNAAANUCCCGUUGCCAAGCAGGACGCGGAUAACUCACGGGACAGAGGUUGCCCAAGGCGUUAUUCCGGGGAUNUAAUCGGGUCUUAAAAAGGGGUCCCUGUAAUUGCAGGAUUCUGGUGCACAGGUCCACGUUGGGUUGGAAAAAUUUCNUCNACAAAAGGGGUUAUCAA